UUAGACGUUUGGUUUUUUUUUUAUCUGAACGGAUAAGUCGCUUAUUAAGUUGUUUAGCAGACGACAGCGUAUUUUAGUAGUUUAGCGAUCGUUAAAAUAAUCAAAAUUUACGCUUACCUAUCGUAUUCACCGUUAAAAAAACAAAAAUACAAAUGGACUCUUUAUUUUCAAGCGCGUUGAACAAGUGUCGUCAAUUUGAUACGU
Non-coding RNA from Cinara cedri, 204 nucleotides. The record is from the annotation of a GenBank genome assembly. NCBI's taxonomy places the organism in Eukaryota, Metazoa, Arthropoda, Insecta, Hemiptera, Aphididae.